GGGGAAUAUUGCACAAUGGGCGAAAGCCUGAUGCAGCAACGCCGCGUGAGUGAAGAAGGUUUUCGGAUUGUAAAGCUCUGUCAUCUGGGACGAUAAUGACGGUACCAGAUGAGGAAGCCACGGCUAACUACGUGCCAGCAGCCGCGGUAAUACGUAGGUGGCAAGCGUUGUCCGGAAUUACUGGGCGUAAAGGGUGCGCAGGCGGACAUUUAAGUGAGAUGUGAAAGACCCGGGCUUAACUUGGGCAGUGCAUUUCAAACUGGAUGUCUGGAGUGCAGGAGAGGAGAACGGAAUUCCUAGUGUAGCGGUGAGAUGCGUAGAGAUUAGGAAGAACACCAGUGGCGAAGGCGACUCUCUGGGCUGUAACUGACGCUGAGGCGCGAAAGCGUGGGGAGCAAAC
This 400-nucleotide ribosomal RNA is filed under the name uncultured bacterium. Its description in RNAcentral is "bacterial SSU rRNA". It matches the Rfam family "Bacterial small subunit ribosomal RNA", at positions 356 to 773 of the family's 1533-position model. The record is from RNAcentral.